This 501-nucleotide ribosomal RNA is filed under the name uncultured bacterium. Its description in RNAcentral is "partial 16S ribosomal RNA". It matches the Rfam family "Bacterial small subunit ribosomal RNA", at positions 30 to 523 of the family's 1533-position model. The record is from RNAcentral.
AUUGAACGCUGGCGGCAGGCUUAACACAUGCAAGUCGAGCGGGGGAAGGUAGCUUGCUACUGGACCUAGCGGCGGACGGGUGAGUAAUGCUUAGGAAUCUGCCUAUUAGUGGGGGACAACAUCUCGAAAGGGGUGCUAAUACCGCAUACGUCCUACGGGAGAAAGCAGGGGAUCUUCGGACCUUGCGCUAAUAGAUGAGCCUAAGUCGGAUUAGCUAGGUGGGGGGGUAAAGGCCUACCAAGGCGACGAUCUGUAGCGGGUCUGAGAGGAUGAUCGGCGACAUUGGGACUGAGACACGGCCCAGACUCCUCCGGGAGGCAGCAGUGGGGAAUAUUGGACAAUGGGGGGAACCCUGAUCCAGCCAGGCCGCGUGUGUGAAGAAGGCCUUAUGGUUGUAAAGCACUUUAAGCGAGGAGGAGGCUACUUUAGUUAAUACCUAGAGAUAGUGGACGUUACUCGCAGAAUAAGCACCGGCUAACUCUGUGCCAGCCGCCGCCGUAA